RNAcentral lists this ribosomal RNA (200 nucleotides) under uncultured bacterium. RNAcentral's name for it is "partial 16S ribosomal RNA". It matches the Rfam family "Bacterial small subunit ribosomal RNA", at positions 28 to 254 of the family's 1533-position model. The record is from RNAcentral.
GAUGAACGCUAGCGGCAGGCUUAACACAUGCAAGUCGAGCGGGCGUAGCAAUACGUCAGCGGCAGACGGGUGAGUAACGCGUGGGAACAUACCUUUUGGUUCGGAACAACACAGGGAAACUUGUGCUAAUACCGGAUAAGCCCUUACGGGGAAAGAUUUAUCGCCGAAAGAUUGGCCCGCGUCUGAUUAGCUAGUUGGUG